AGUGAACGCUGGCGGUAGGCCUAACACAUGCAAGUCGAACGGCAGCACAGGAGAGCUUGCUCUCUGGGUGGCGAGUGGCGGACGGGUGAGGAAUACGUCGGAAUCUACUCUGUCGUGGGGGAUAACGUAGGGAAACUUACGCUAAUACCGCAUACGACCUACGGGUGAAAGCAGGGGAUCUUCGGACCUUGCGCGAUUGAAUGAGCCGAUGUCGGAUUAGCUAGUUGGCGGGGUAAAGGCCCACCAAGGCGACGAUCCGUAGCUGGUCUGAGAGGAUGAUCAGCCACACUGGAACUGAGACACGGUCCAGACUCCUACGGGAGGCAGCAGUGGGGAAUAUUGGACAAUGGGCGCAAGCCUGAUCCAGCCAUACCGCGUGGGUGAAGAAGGCCUUCGGGUUGUAAAGCCCUUUUGUUGGGAAAGAAAUGCAGCUGGCUAAUACCCGGUUGGGAUGACGUACCCAAAGAAUAAGCACCGGCUAACUUCGUGCCAGCCGCCGCGGUAA
Molecule: ribosomal RNA, 505 nt
Filed under: uncultured bacterium
Lineage: Bacteria
Description: partial 16S ribosomal RNA
Rfam family: Bacterial small subunit ribosomal RNA
Source: RNAcentral